Molecule: long non-coding RNA, 980 nt
Filed under: Homo sapiens (human)
Lineage: Eukaryota; Metazoa; Chordata; Mammalia; Primates; Hominidae
Description: HSALNT0257653
Source: RNAcentral
CAGAAUGAUUUUCAGAAACUGCUUUGUGAUGUGUGCGUUCAACUCACAGAGUUUCAACUUUCUUUUCAUAGAGCAGUUAGGAAACACUCUGUUUGUAAAGUCUACAAGUGGAUAUUCAGACCUCUUUGAGGCCUUCGUUGGAAACGGGAUUUCUUUAUAUUAUGCUAGACAGAAGAAUUCUCAGUAACUUCCUUGUGUUGUGUGUAUUCAACUCACAGAGUUGAACGGUUCUUUACACAGAGCAGAUUUGAGACACUCUUUUUGUGGAAUUUGUAAGUGGAGAUUUCAGCCGCUUUGAGGUCAGUGGUAGAAAAGGAAAUAUCUUCGUAUAAAAACUAGACAGAAUGAUUCUCAGAAACUGCUUUGUGAUGUGUGCGUUCAACUCACAGAGUUUAACCUUCCUUUUCAUAGAGCAGUUAGGAAACACUCUGUUUGUAAAAUCUGCAAUUGGAUAUUCAGACCUCUUUGAGGCCUUCGUUGGAAACGGGAUUUCUUCAUAUUACACUAGACAGAAGAAUUCUCAGUAACUUCCUUUUGUUGUGUGUAUUCAACUGACAGAGUUGAACCUUCCCUUAGACAGAGCAGAUUUGAAACACUCUUUUUGUGGGGUUUGCAAGUGGAGAUUUAAAGCGCUUUGAGGCCAAAGGCAGAAAAGGAAAUAUCUUCGUAUAAAAACUAGACAGAAUCAUUCUCAGAAACUGCUGUGUGAUGUGUGCUUUCAACUCAGAGAGUUUAACUUUUCUUUUCAUUCAGCAGUUUGGAAACACUCUGUUUGUAAAGUCUGCAAGUGGAUAUAUUGACCUCUUAGGGUCCUUCGUUGGAAACGGGUUUUUUUUCAUGUAAGGCUAGACAGAAGAAUUCCCAAUAACUUCCUUGUGUUGUGUGCAUUCAACUCACAGAGUUGAACGUUCUUUUAGACAGAGCAGAUCGGAAACAAUCUUUUUGUGCAAUUUGCAGGUGGAGAUUUCAAGCGCUUUAAG